GACGAACCGUGCGAACGUUGUUCGGAAUCACUGGGCUUAAAGGGCGCGUAGGCGGCUUACCAAGUCCGGGGUGAAAGCUUUCGGCUUAACCGGAAAAGUGCCUUGGAUACUGGUAAGCUUGAGGGAGGUAGGGGCAUGCGGAACUUCCGGUGGAGCGGUGAAAUGCGUUGAUAUCGGAAGGAACGCCGGUGGCGAAAGCGGCGUGCUGGACCUCUUCUGACGCUGAGGCGCGAAAGCUAGGGGAGCGAACGGG
This 253-nucleotide ribosomal RNA is filed under the name uncultured bacterium. RNAcentral describes it as "partial 16S ribosomal RNA". It matches the Rfam family "Bacterial small subunit ribosomal RNA", at positions 524 to 776 of the family's 1533-position model. The record is from RNAcentral.